This 124-nucleotide non-coding RNA is filed under the name Oceanobacillus iheyensis. Its description in RNAcentral is "FMN sequence". It matches the Rfam family "FMN riboswitch aptamer (RFN element)". From Rfam's summary of the family: The RFN element is a highly conserved domain that is found frequently in the 5'-untranslated regions of prokaryotic mRNAs that encode for flavin mononucleotide (FMN) biosynthesis and transport proteins. Lineage: Bacteria; Bacillati; Bacillota; Bacilli; Caryophanales; Bacillaceae. The record is from RNAcentral. RNAcentral also lists the same sequence under 1 other name.
UCCAAUCUUCGGGGCAGGGUGCAAUUCCCGACCGGCGGUAAAGUCCGCGAGCUGCAUACAUAUUGUGGUUGAUCUGGUUAAAUUCCAGUACCGACAGUUAUAGUCUGGAUGGGAGAAGAUGUCG